CCGCUGGCCGCGCUGAAGGCGGUGUUGGGGAGGGUCGUGCGCUUGGCGCUCGGAUCAUCACAGAAUGGCCUGGGUUGAAAAGGUCACACAGUGAUCAUCCAGUUCCAACCCCUGCUAUGUGCAGGGUCGCCAACCAGCAGACCAGGCUGCCCAGAGCCACAUCCAGCCUGGCCCUGAAUGCCUCCAAGGAUGGGGCAUUCACAGCCUCCUUGGGCAACCUGUUCCAUGCGUCACCACCCUCUGAGUGAAAAAUCUCCUAAUAUCUAAGCUAAAUGAGAUGCUGCAGCUCGCACUGUACGAGGGCAGGUCCGGGGAGAGCAUCUCCCCCCUCAGUUCCAACAGCAGCUGCAGUUUCCAUUCCUAGUGUUUUUUUAAACCUGUUGUGAAUCCAGACGGUGGCAGUCAGAAAAACGAGCAUCAUUUGCCAGCAGUGCAUAACUUGGCAAGCCUGAAGCUCGCACCCGCUCAGGACACUUAAGUACCUGGCCAUUAAGCCGCGGGCCACGCAAACGGCACGAGAAAGAUAGAAUCAUAGAAUAGCACAGGUUGGAGAAGACCUUCAAGAUCAUCGAGUCCAACCACGACCUAACCAUACUACCCUAACUCUAACAACCCUCUGCUAAAUCACGUCCCUGAGCACCACAUCCAAAUGGUUUUUAAACACAUCCAGGGAUGGUGACUCAAGCCCCUCCCUGGGCAGCCCAUUGCAGUGCUUAACAACCCCUUGCUGUAAAGAAGUUUUUCCUGAAAGAUGUCGAAAGACAAACACACGGGCUGUGGGUUGAGGGUGAUGACGGCGGAGACCCGCUUCACGUCGCCUCACCGAACCCCGUGGGGAAUGCCCCGAGCAGAAGCGAAGCUGGCUGCCUCGCGGUGCGGCGCUGGGCAGCGUGCCGGCCCCGAGCCGCCGCGGUGCGCCCUCGGCGCGCGUUGCCGCACGUCUCCGCUGGCAGCACUCGCGGCUAUGACAAGGAGCCGCUGUCCCGGCCUCGGGGCUCCCCCCGCCCCCGGCGCUCGCAGGGGGCAGGCGGGCGCGCGGGGCACCGGUCCCAGCGUCCCGCUCGCUGGCAGCCGGGCGGGGAGAGGCACGGCGAAGGAAGGCGGGCGCGGGCAGAGCGGCGUUACCCGCCGGGAGGUGCCGACCCCAGCCUGUCGCGGCCGGGAGGAAAACGCCGCCGCGCUCCGAGCUUCGCCGCCUCGCCGCGAGGAUCCGAGGUACAAUAUGGAGAAAAUACCUACAGGAAUAUUCUGAAGCUCACUCAAAAAAAUGAAACACCGUGUAGCACUUAGUGAAUGGCAGCUGUAUGUGAUUUUCUCCUUUUCUGGUGUACUGAAGAGAUGAUUUUACUGAAGAAGAAUUUGGCCUGCAAUGUGCAUUUCCAGCAUCAGAAUGAUCAAUAUUGUGAGGAUGCUAUAAUAUACGUUUCUUCUCAGAAAUCUGAGAGCAGUUAGUAUAAAUCUGUUCUGUGUGUCUAAUAGCCUUUGCAGUC
This 1490-nucleotide long non-coding RNA is filed under the name Phasianus colchicus (ring-necked pheasant). RNAcentral describes it as "lncRNA (ENSPCLG00000002058.1)". The record is from RNAcentral. Lineage: Eukaryota; Metazoa; Chordata; Aves; Galliformes; Phasianidae.